Molecule: ribosomal RNA, 439 nt
Filed under: uncultured bacterium
Lineage: Bacteria
Description: bacterial SSU rRNA
Rfam family: Bacterial small subunit ribosomal RNA
Source: RNAcentral
GAUGAACGCUAGCUACAGGCUUAACACAUGCAAGUCGAGGGGCAGCAUGAACUUAGCUUGCUAAGUUUGAUGGCGACCGGCGCACGGGUGAGUAACACGUAUCCAACCUUCCGUUUACUCAGGGAUAGCCUUUCGAAAGAAAGAUUAAUACCUGAUAGUAUGGUGAGAUUGCAUGAUAGCACCAUUAAAGAUUUAUUGGUAAACGAUGGGGAUGCGUUCCAUUAGGUAGUAGGCGGGGUAACGGCCCACCUAGCCGACGAUGGAUAGGGGUUCUGAGAGGAAGGUCCCCCCACAUUGGAACUGAGACACGGUCCAAACUCCUACGGGAGGCAGCAGUGAGGAAUAUUGGUCAAUGGGCGAGAGCCUGAACCAGCCAAGUAGCGUGAACGGAUGACUGCCCUAUGGGUUGUAGACUUCUUUAUACGGGAAUACAUCAUCC